Molecule: transfer RNA, 87 nt
Filed under: Alphaproteobacteria bacterium
Lineage: Bacteria; Pseudomonadati; Pseudomonadota; Alphaproteobacteria
Description: tRNA-Leu
Rfam family: tRNA
About the family: Transfer RNA (tRNA) molecules are approximately 80 nucleotides in length.
Source: RNAcentral
GCGGGCGUGGCGGAAUCGGUAGACGCGCCAGACUUAAAAUCUGUUGGGGUUCGCCCCGUGCCGGUUCAAGUCCGGCCGCCCGCACCA